AUUGAACGCUGGCGGCAGGCCUAACACAUGCAAGUCGAACGAGUGGCGGACGGGUGAGUAAUGUCUGGGAAACUGCCCGAAGGAGGGGGAUAACUACUGGAAACGGUAGCUAAUACCGCAUACCAUCGGAUGUGCCCAGAUGGGAUUAGCUAGUAGGUGGGGUAAUGGCUCACCAGUGCGACGAUCCCUAGAUGGUCUGAGAGGAUGACCAGCGACACUGGAACUGAGACACGGUCCAGACUCCGAAGGGAGGCAGCAGUGGGGAAUAUUGCACAAUGGGCGCAAGCCGGAUGCAGCCAUGCCGCGUGUAUGAAGAAGGCCUUCGGAUUGUAAAGUACUUUCAGCGAGGAGGCGUUACUCGCAGAGGAAGCACCGGCUAACUCCGUGCCAGCAGCCGCGGUAAUUC
RNAcentral lists this ribosomal RNA (406 nucleotides) under uncultured bacterium. RNAcentral's name for it is "partial 16S ribosomal RNA". It matches the Rfam family "Bacterial small subunit ribosomal RNA", at positions 30 to 526 of the family's 1533-position model. The record is from RNAcentral.